AAUCCAUGAUGUGGACAUAUAUUCAUCAAGUCCUUGAAUCUCUCCCAACAAUCUUAAAACAUCUCAUCACCUCUUUGCAUGAACAAACUGAUAUGCUCCUACAGGUAUU
Small nucleolar RNA from Malania oleifera, 109 nucleotides. The record is from RefSeq and is a predicted model, not a curated record. Lineage: Eukaryota; Viridiplantae; Streptophyta; Magnoliopsida; Santalales; Ximeniaceae.